CAGAGGUGGCAAGCGUUGUUCGGAAUUACUGGGCGUAAAGGGCGCGUAGGCGGCCUUCUAAGUCAGACGUGAAAUCCCCAGGCUUAACUUGGGAACUGCGUCUGAUACUGGGAGGCUUGAAUGCGGGAGAGGGAUGUGGAAUUCCAGGUGUAGCGGUGAAAUGCGUAGAUAUCUGGAGGAACACCGGUGGCGAAGGCGGCAUCCUGGACCGACAUUGACGCUGAGGCGCGAAAGCUAGGGGAGCAAACGGGAUUAGAUACCCCGGUAGUCCUGGCCCUAAACGAUGAGUGCUUGGUGUGGCGGGUAUCGAUCCCUGCCGUGCCGAAGCUAACGCAUUAAGCACUCCGCCUGGGGAGUACGGUCGCAAGGCUG
This 372-nucleotide ribosomal RNA is filed under the name uncultured organism. RNAcentral describes it as "bacterial SSU rRNA". It matches the Rfam family "Bacterial small subunit ribosomal RNA", at positions 526 to 896 of the family's 1533-position model. The record is from RNAcentral.